This is a long non-coding RNA of Capsicum annuum, 738 nucleotides long. RefSeq lists it as uncharacterized. NCBI's taxonomy places the organism in Eukaryota, Viridiplantae, Streptophyta, Magnoliopsida, Solanales, Solanaceae. The transcript has 3 exons. The record is from RefSeq and is a predicted model, not a curated record.
CUCCUUCCUCAGUAUUAACGCUUUCUCCUAAUACUUUAAAUUGAUCAAACUCUCCAAAACAAUUCCUCUUUUUUUCAGAGGUUCAAUUUUGUUAUUCCCAAUUUGAAAGAAUGGAUGCGAAUUAGAUGACGUCCUUUGCCUAUCCUAAGGAUCCUAAGAUUGCACACAAUUAAAAUCGAUUGAUUUGCGAAGGUGAUCCUUUCAACCAAUUUGGAGCUUUAGAGGUCAAGGAUUUAGCUGAAGAAGAAGCUUGGAAAAGUAGCAGAAAAAGGACACUGACGGUCAAACUGACGACCGUCAGCCAAGCGACGGCCUAUCAGGGUGACCAUUAAAGUUAAACAGAAUGGACCAAGUAGAUGUCUCCUGCAAUGGUCUAAGUGAUGGAUCGUCGGACCUCUGACGGACUGCCAACUUGGCCGUCAAGCUGAAACAGUGAGUGUCAUCUCAAGUAAUCAAGCGACAGCUCAUAUGAUGGACCGUCAUGCAAGUGAUGAAUCGUCAAGUUGGCCAUCACACCUUAACCAGAAAGUAGCAGCUUGGGACUAUCAGCGACAGUUCAAGUGAGGGCCUUCAACAUGACCGUCAACUUCGACGCGACAUUAAUGAGUUUGAAUUUCAAAUCUCCAGUACCUGGGAACAUAUAAAUACCCAUUUUAGGUUUUAUUUAGGUAUCUUUUAUCAUAUUUUUACCUUGAAAAACCUAUUGUAACACAUUAUUCUCUGAGAUUCAAGCUAGUA